AGGUUCGAUUCUGGCUCAGGAUGAACGCUGGCGGCGUGCUUAACACAUGCAAGUCGAACGGAGUUUUUAACGGAAGUUUUCGGAUGGAAGUUUAGAAACUUAGUGGCGGACGGGUGAGUAACGCGUGGGUAACCUGCCUCAUACAGGGGGAUAACAGUUAGAAAUGACUGCUAACACCGCAUAAUAUAGCGAAACCGCAUGAUUUUUGCUAUCAAAUAUUUAUAGGUAUGAGAUGGGCCCGCGUCUGAUUAGCUAGUUGGUGGGGUAAAAGCCUACCAAGGCGACGAUCAGUAGCCGGCUUGAGAGAGUGACCGGCCACAUUGGGACUGAGACACGGCCCAAACUCCUACGGGAGGCAGCAGUGGGGAAUAUUGGACAAUGGGGGAAACCCUGAUCCAGCCGACGCCGCGUGAGUGAAGAAGUAUUUCGGUAUGUAAAGCUCUAUCAGCAGGGAAGAUAAUGACAGUACCUGACUAAGGAGCCCCGGCUAACUACGUGCCAGCCGCCGC
Molecule: ribosomal RNA, 509 nt
Filed under: uncultured bacterium
Lineage: Bacteria
Description: bacterial SSU rRNA
Rfam family: Bacterial small subunit ribosomal RNA
Source: RNAcentral